This 440-nucleotide ribosomal RNA is filed under the name uncultured bacterium. Its description in RNAcentral is "bacterial SSU rRNA". It matches the Rfam family "Bacterial small subunit ribosomal RNA", at positions 338 to 795 of the family's 1533-position model. The record is from RNAcentral.
CCUACGGGCUGCACCAGUGGGGAAUAUUGGACAAUGGGCGAAAGCCUGAUCCAGCAAUGCCGCGUAUGUGAAGAAGGUCUUCGGAUUGUAAAGCACUUUCGACGGAGACGAUGAUGACGGUACCCGUAGAAGAAGCCCCGGCUAACUUCGUGCCAGCAGCCGCGGUAAUACGAAGGGGGCUAGCGUUGCUCGGAAUGACUGGGCGUAAAGGGCGCGUAGGCGGUUUAUGCAGUCAGAUGUGAAAUCCCCGGGCUUAACCUGGGAACUGCAUUUGAGACGCAUAGACUAGAGGUCGAGAGAGGGUUGUGGAAUUCCCAGUGUAGAGGUGAAAUUCGUAGAUAUUGGGAAGAACACCGGUGGCGAAGGCGGCAACCUGGCUCGAUACUGACGCUGAGGCGCGAAAGCGUGGGGAGCAAACAGGAUUAGAUACCCUUGUAGUC